GACGAACGCUGGCGGCGUGCUUAACACAUGCAAGUCGAACGGAAAGGCCCUGCUUUUGUGGGUUGCUCGAGUGGCGAACGGGUGAGUAACACGUGAGUAACCUGCCCUUGACUUUGGGAUAACUUCAGGAAACUGGGGCUAAUACCGGAUAGGAGCUCCUGCUGCAUGGUGGGGGUUGGAAAGUUUCGGCGGUUGGGGAUGGACUCGCGGCUUAUCAGCUUGUUGGUGGGGUAGUGGCUUACCAAGGCUUUGACGGGUAGCCGGCCUGAGAGGGUGACCGGCCACAUGGGGACUGAGAGACGGCCCAGAAUCCUACGGGAGGCAGCAGGGGGGAAUAUUGCACAAUGGGCGGAAGCCUGAUGCAGCAACGCCGCGUGCGGGAUGACGGCCUUCGGGUUGUAAACCGCUUUCGCCUGUGACGAAGCGUGAGUGACGGUAAUGGGUAAAGAAGCACCGGCUAACUACGUG
RNAcentral lists this ribosomal RNA (468 nucleotides) under uncultured bacterium. RNAcentral's name for it is "partial 16S ribosomal RNA". It matches the Rfam family "Bacterial small subunit ribosomal RNA", at positions 28 to 507 of the family's 1533-position model. The record is from RNAcentral.